This is a long non-coding RNA of Siniperca chuatsi (mandarin fish), 315 nucleotides long. RefSeq lists it as uncharacterized. The transcript has 3 exons. NCBI's taxonomy places the organism in Eukaryota, Metazoa, Chordata, Actinopteri, Centrarchiformes, Sinipercidae. The record is from RefSeq and is a predicted model, not a curated record.
CAAGGUAGGGAGAGCUGUACACCACCACCUCCUCCUCUAACUGGACCUCAAUGGACACACUGGACAGCACCCCCUGAAUAAAUCGUGUCCAGUUAAAACCCUGGAAAACAAAAGGCACGAACAAAAAAACUUGGCUGAUCUCCUAUGUCGACACUAAAUGCAGCCCGGUUCUCUCAUUUACUGGAAGCAGAGAGGAGUUCCAGCACUUGCAUCAUUUCCUCCCACACACGGUCGUCAUCCUGAGUCAAGUUCCUGUCCUCUCGGGUUAUCUUCGCGAUAGAAACCAUGAAAUGUAGGUAGGCCUCUCGAACCUAU